GCCUUUCCUCUCCGGAGAAACCUCAUGCGGCACUUCCCUGGAGCAAUCAUCCCCAGGAGAAACACGGUCUUCAACUACCGCCUCGCCCGAACCAGGCUGACUAUGGAGUGCACCUUCGGCAUUCUUGCGUCCCACUGGCAGAUGUUCCGGUUAUAUCAGCUGUGUCAGUGAACCCCUCCCACUUCUGAACUGCCUGAAACAGAUGCACAUCUUUAUCAGAGGUAUUGUCUGUGAGAGAGGAUGCCAAUCCCUAGUCCCGUCAUCGUCACCUCAUCCGCUCAAAGACAACCCAACUGGGGGCCCAAGGCUGGUUAGGAGACACCGGUAGAGAUACUAUUAUGUAA
Oncorhynchus mykiss (rainbow trout) is the source of this 344-nucleotide non-coding RNA. The record is from RefSeq and is a predicted model, not a curated record. Lineage: Eukaryota; Metazoa; Chordata; Actinopteri; Salmoniformes; Salmonidae.